Molecule: transfer RNA, 86 nt
Filed under: Biscogniauxia mediterranea
Lineage: Eukaryota; Fungi; Ascomycota; Sordariomycetes; Xylariales; Xylariaceae
Description: tRNA-Pro
Rfam family: tRNA
About the family: Transfer RNA (tRNA) molecules are approximately 80 nucleotides in length. Their secondary structure includes four short double-helical elements and three loops (D, anti-codon, and T loops). Further hydrogen bonds mediate the characteristic L-shaped molecular structure. tRNAs have two regions of fundamental functional importance: the anti-codon, which is responsible for specific mRNA codon recognition, and the 3' end, to which the tRNAs corresponding amino acid is attached (by aminoacyl-tRNA synthetases). tRNAs cope with the degeneracy of the genetic code in two manners: having more than one tRNA (with a specific anti-codon) for a particular amino acid; and 'wobble' base-pairing, i.e. permitting non-standard base-pairing at the 3rd anti-codon position.
Source: RNAcentral
GGCUUCAUGGUCUAGUGGUAUGAUUCUCGCUUUGGGUUCUCCACCUGAAUUGCGAGAGGCCCCGGGUUCGAAUCCCGGUGAAGCCC